Molecule: ribosomal RNA, 245 nt
Filed under: uncultured bacterium
Lineage: Bacteria
Description: partial 16S ribosomal RNA
Rfam family: Bacterial small subunit ribosomal RNA
Source: RNAcentral
UACGUAGGGUGCAAGCGUUAUCCGGAUUUACUGGGCGUAAAGAGUGUCGUAGGUGGUCUAUUAAGUUUUAGCUUAAAUACUGGGGCUCAACUCCAGCUACAGGCUAAAAUACUAAUAGACUAGUGGGAAAUCGGAGAUAUUGGAAUUCCUGGUGGAGGGGUGAAAUCCGUUGAGAUCAGGAAGAACACCAAGGGCGAAGGCAAAUAUCUAGGUUUUUCCAGACACUGAUGAACGAAAGCUAGGGG